Molecule: transfer RNA, 67 nt
Filed under: Clostridium amazonitimonense
Lineage: Bacteria; Bacillati; Bacillota; Clostridia; Eubacteriales; Clostridiaceae
Rfam family: tRNA
About the family: Transfer RNA (tRNA) molecules are approximately 80 nucleotides in length. Their secondary structure includes four short double-helical elements and three loops (D, anti-codon, and T loops). Further hydrogen bonds mediate the characteristic L-shaped molecular structure. tRNAs have two regions of fundamental functional importance: the anti-codon, which is responsible for specific mRNA codon recognition, and the 3' end, to which the tRNAs corresponding amino acid is attached (by aminoacyl-tRNA synthetases). tRNAs cope with the degeneracy of the genetic code in two manners: having more than one tRNA (with a specific anti-codon) for a particular amino acid; and 'wobble' base-pairing, i.e. permitting non-standard base-pairing at the 3rd anti-codon position.
Source: RNAcentral
UCAUAGCUCAGUUGGAUAGAGUGUUGGACUUCGAAUCCAAAUGUCGGGGGUUCGAAUCCCUCUGGGC